GGAUGAGCCUGCGUACCAUUAGCUAGUUGGUGGGGUAAGGGCCUACCAAGGCGACGAUGGUUAGCUGGUCUGAGAGGAUGAUCAGCCACACUGGAACUGGAACACGGUCCAGACUCCUACGGGAGGCAGCAGUGAGGAAUUUUGCGCAAUGGGGGAAACCCUGACGCAGCAACGCCGCGUGAGUGAUGAAGGCUUUCGGGUCGUAAAGCUCUGUCGAACGGGAAGAAAGUAUAUUAUCUGAAUAAGGUGGUAUAUUGACGGUACCGUUGAAGGAAGCACCGGCUAACUCCGUGCCAGCAGCCGCGGUAAUACGGGGGGUGCAAGCGUUAUUCGGAAUUAUUGGGCGUAAAGGGCGCGUAGGCGGUUUUACAAGUCAGAUGUGAAAUACCUGGGCUUAACCGAGGAAGAGCAUUUGAAACGGUGAGACUUGAGUAUGGGAGAGGGUAGUGGAAUUCCUGGUGUAGAGGUGAAAUUCGUAGAUAUCAGGAGGAACACCUGUGGCGAAAGCGGCUACCUGGACCAAUACUGACGCUGAGGCGCGAAGGCGUGGGGAGCAAACAGGAUUAGAUACCCUGGUAGUCCACGCAGUAAACGAUGAUCACUAGGUGUAGCGGGUAUUGACCCCUGCUGUGCCGCAGUUAACACAUUAA
RNAcentral lists this ribosomal RNA (650 nucleotides) under uncultured bacterium. Its description in RNAcentral is "bacterial SSU rRNA". It matches the Rfam family "Bacterial small subunit ribosomal RNA", at positions 223 to 863 of the family's 1533-position model. The record is from RNAcentral.